CAGAGGGGAGAGUGACAGUUGGAGUGACAGAAGGUUGCUUAGAGUGAGAGGGAUGUGGUGGAGUUUACAAGGGACAGUUAGUGACAGAAGAGGUUAUAAGAGACAGUUGAGACAUAACCAGCAACGGCAGCUGCCGCAGUGCUCAGAACUGGAGUCAGCCUGCCAAGGAUUAAUGGAUGGGUGACACUCCAUGCUGUAGCCAGACUGCCAAGGGCAAGGCAAAAAGAAAUACUUUGUCUUUGAGAACCUCACCAAUAGGUCCCGGGAACAGAAUUAUAUUUACAGGCCCAGAUGGUACAGGAGAUUACAGAUCAUGGCUUACGGAUGAUACUCAUUACGUAGGAGCAAAAACUUCACCAACAGAGGGUACGAGCGACGCUGAAUACUUGUGGCGACCUGCAUGGAGCAAUCCUCCUCUAUGGCUCAACAGAGAUGUCUUUGUAGGAGGAAUUGGCUGGGGACUACCAGAAUUUGCUUUUCUCAGACAAAGAACCACUUUGAGGGACAAGCAGACUGGAAUAUUGCCUCCAUCUGAAGAGUUUGAAAUAAUUCAGCGAUACAGAAAUCCCAGGGUCCACCAUGGUUUGCAUUUGAAUGGGAGACGUGUGAGCACUCAAAGGUAUUCCCAUCAGGGAGAGAGCAGCUGCAUGCUUGCAUUCUGAAGGUUCCAAGUUCCAUCAGCAUCUUCAGGUGGAAAAUGUAUCCCAGUCCUGAUCCACAAGUCUUGGGUUGGUCAGGCUACCCAUUCUAUGAUCCUGCUAGGCUGGCCAUUUUAUAUCAUCAAAUGAAGAAUUAAGACAUACAAGACUGAAAGGCAUCAAGAGGCCAACUUUCAAGCACAAGACAACCUACAACAAUUUAAAAAUAAAUGAAGCGCAAUUAAUAUGUAACAGAACAAUUAAAGUAACCAACAAAAGAUUAAAGAAUACGGUUCCUGUACUGCA
Hemicordylus capensis (graceful crag lizard) is the source of this 944-nucleotide RNA transcript. It is a transcript of the gene named chromosome 5 C4orf45 homolog, with no coding region annotated. The transcript has 8 exons. The record is from RefSeq and is a predicted model, not a curated record. NCBI's taxonomy places the organism in Eukaryota, Metazoa, Chordata, Lepidosauria, Squamata, Cordylidae.